CCAGCCGAGCUCAAUGUGC
RNAcentral lists this small nuclear RNA (19 nucleotides) under Arabidopsis thaliana (thale cress). RNAcentral describes it as "snRNA_03697". The record is from RNAcentral. Lineage: Eukaryota; Viridiplantae; Streptophyta; Magnoliopsida; Brassicales; Brassicaceae.